UGCCCAUGAACCACAUCAUGCACUGCAUACUAUUUCUUGUGGACCACACCCUUGAAUCUGUGGAUCGAGCGGUUGGUCCACCAUGCACCGAAGACUAUUUUAAAUAUUUGUUGGGGUAUUUUAGCUUGAUUUUUGCUCUAAUCUUAUGCCUGAAAAAUAAAAAAAAAUAUACAUUAAAUUGCUCAUUAAUUCUCUAUUAUUUUGGUGCU
Molecule: long non-coding RNA, 209 nt
Filed under: Elaeis guineensis (African oil palm)
Lineage: Eukaryota; Viridiplantae; Streptophyta; Magnoliopsida; Arecales; Arecaceae
Description: long non-coding RNA (EGUI_LNC069539)
Source: RNAcentral